RNAcentral lists this long non-coding RNA (547 nucleotides) under Mustela putorius furo (domestic ferret). RNAcentral describes it as "lncRNA (ENSMPUG00000031182.1)". Lineage: Eukaryota; Metazoa; Chordata; Mammalia; Carnivora; Mustelidae. The record is from RNAcentral.
CUCUUCUUUGCUGUGUCUUCAGCUUCUACGAAAUAGUACCUGGUUAGGAAUCAUAAUAAUCACAGUCAAAUAAAGACCCGCUUCUGUGUUCUGCAACUUCAAAACGGCCCCAAGGGCCCCACCUCUUCCAGUACUCUUUCCUCAUUAUGGAUGCGCCAGGCAACCACUGGAUUCUAAAGAAGACAAUGGCCUCAAAGCGAUGGUGUGUCACUCCUUUGGUGAGGCUCUGAAAACUGUGACUUCCUUCCCGUCUCCACUCCUUCUCCUUGGUUCUUUUUGCUUGCCUCCGGUGCUGAAACAAGUUGCCAUCUUGUGAGCCUGGGCCCACGGAGGCCCUGAGACCCUCAGACCAGCAGCCCAGAAGCAUCCUUCCCAGCUGAGCCAUGAGGUCAAAGCCACUGCUGCUGAGACCCGGAUGGCAACCUCACUGGCGACUCUGAGCCACCGGACCCCACCUAACCAUGCCCAGGUUGUCGACCCACAGAAACACUGCUUUCUGCAUUAUUCAUCCUUCCUACAAUCAUCCAAGCUCACUGCAGAAAAAUAC